Non-coding RNA from Felis catus (domestic cat), 327 nucleotides. It matches the Rfam family "7SK RNA". Rfam says of the family: 7SK was discovered as an abundant small nuclear RNA in the mid-70s but a possible function has only recently been suggested. Two independent studies have found that 7SK RNA binds the CDK9/cyclin T complex (known as elongation factor P-TEFb). The record is from Rfam. Lineage: Eukaryota; Metazoa; Chordata; Mammalia; Carnivora; Felidae.
GGAUGUGAGGGCAACCUGGCUGUGACAUCCAUCACCCCAUUAUUGCCAGGGUUGAUUCGGCUGAUCUGGCUGGCCAGGCUGGUGUCCCCUUCCUCCCUCAUGGCUCCCUGUGCAUCCUCUCAAAGCCAUGUGCUGCCGAAGAGAACGAACUUCCCCGAUAGAGGAGUACUGCUCUUCGGUCAAGGGUAUAGGAGUAGUUGCGCUCUCCCGCUAGAACCUCCAAACAAGCUCUCCAGGUCCAUUUGUAGGACAACAUAGGGUGGUCAAGCUUUCAAGAUUCCAGACACAUCCAAAUGAGGUGCUACAUGUGGCAGUCUGCCUUUAAAA